RNAcentral lists this long non-coding RNA (287 nucleotides) under Brassica rapa (field mustard). RNAcentral describes it as "long non-coding RNA (BRAP_LNC008990)". Lineage: Eukaryota; Viridiplantae; Streptophyta; Magnoliopsida; Brassicales; Brassicaceae. The record is from RNAcentral.
AUUUCCCUUGUUUGCAUUAAGUUGUCUAGCUCGAGUUUCCUUUUUCGGUUUAUUUGCAUCAAGCAUAAAAUCUUUUUUUUUAAUUAUUGUUUUGUUUCUUUUAAAUUGAAAACCAAAAUAAAUAUUUAUUUCCAUUGUUUUAUUUUAUAGAUUUCGAGAUUUGCUUGAUAAAGUUAAAAAAAAAAAAUAGGAGUUAAUUUUCCAUUUGUUUCAAAACUUUCAAAAAAAAAAAAAAACUAAGUUUCCAAUUUUUUGUUUGUUUCUUAUUCUUCUUUCUUUUGUUAAAC